AAGAAGAAAGGAGAUUUGAAAAAAACCCAAACUGUCUGUCACAUAUCAGGGGCACAACAUCUGGACAUAGGUAGCAGACAGACUGCCUGUUGCCCUGAUCCAGCUGCUUUCUUCUGGCUCAGCCUGAAAACUCAGGAGAGUGCACAAGUAGGGAUUAAUGAGCUGUUUUCAGGGAAAGCAGAUGCUCCAGGGAAGAUUGCACAGAGGUUUCAGAUAUUCAACAGACCAGCUCCUGCACACUCUCUGUUUAAACCUUCCCAAGUUUAACAACAACUGAGGAUCCAUUUUGCUUGAUCAGGCUCUCAAGGUGCCCAAGUUACUUCCAGCAGCCUGAGAAGGUGCUGGUAUGUAAUGAUAAAAAUACUACACCUGAGCAGACAUUCCUUUUCCUUUUGGAAUAACCAAAAGACCAGAUGGCUUGGCUUACAAGACUGACUCAGGCAGCAGUAGCUGCAAUAGAUCUUCAGGUGUGACACAUUUUGACACUGUGAUAACCUGAUAUUUGAAAUCUUGCUAUGGUAUUCAGAAAUGUUUAAUAAAGUAAUUCAAGUGUAUCA
This 557-nucleotide long non-coding RNA is filed under the name Cyanistes caeruleus (blue tit). RNAcentral describes it as "lncRNA (ENSCCEG00000012376.1)". Lineage: Eukaryota; Metazoa; Chordata; Aves; Passeriformes; Paridae. The record is from RNAcentral.